Molecule: ribosomal RNA, 164 nt
Filed under: uncultured bacterium
Lineage: Bacteria
Description: partial 16S rRNA
Rfam family: Bacterial small subunit ribosomal RNA
Source: RNAcentral
UAGGGAAUCUUCCACAAUGGGCGAAAGCCUGAUGGAGCAACGCCGCGUGUGUGAUGAAGGGUUUCGGCUCGUAAAACACUGUUGCAAGAGAAGAAUGACAUUGAGAGUAACUGUUCAAUGUGUGACGGUAUCUUACCAGAAAGGAACGGCUAAAUACGUGCCAC